This 500-nucleotide ribosomal RNA is filed under the name uncultured Paxillus. RNAcentral describes it as "eukaryotic LSU rRNA". The stretch from base 137 to 291 matches the Rfam family "5.8S ribosomal RNA". The record is from RNAcentral. Lineage: Eukaryota; Fungi; Basidiomycota; Agaricomycetes; Boletales; Paxillaceae.
CACACCCGUGCACCCAUUGUAGGUCUCCGCGAGGGGAUCUAUGUCUUCAUAAAACUCUACGUAUGUCUAGGAAUGUAUCUAAAGCGUCGACCGGCUUGGCUCGAUGCCUGGUCGGCGACGGUAAAGAACGAAAUACAACUUUCAGCAACGGAUCUCUUGGCUCUCGCAUCGAUGAAGAACGCAGCGAAUUGCGAUAAGUAAUGUGAAUUGCAGAUUUUCAGUGAAUCAUCGAAUCUUUGAACGCACCUUGCGCUCCUUGGUAUUCCGAGGAGCAUGCCUGUUUGAGUGUCAUUUAAUUCUCAACCAUCCCUCGAUUCGUUUCGAGGUUUGGCUUGGAUUUUGGGGGCUGCCGGGCGACCCUACGGUCUUCGGCUCUCCUUAAAAGCAUUAGCGACGGUGGAACGACCUAACUCCAUGCAUGAACGGCCUUCGACGUGAUAAUGAUCGUCGUGGCUGGAGUGCUAGCGGGCGUCGUGAAGCCGGCGCUUCUAAAUCUCUCG